RNAcentral lists this ribosomal RNA (355 nucleotides) under uncultured bacterium. RNAcentral describes it as "bacterial SSU rRNA". It matches the Rfam family "Bacterial small subunit ribosomal RNA", at positions 29 to 412 of the family's 1533-position model. The record is from RNAcentral.
AAUGAACGCUGGCGGCAUGCCUAACACAUGCAAGUCGAACGAAGCCUUCGGGCUUAGUGGCGCACGGGUGCGUAACGCGUGGGAAUCUGCCCUUGGGUUCGGAAUAACAGUGGGAAACUACUGCUAAUACCGAAUGAUGUCGUAAGACCAAAGAUUUAUCGCCCAGGGAUGAGCCCGCGUAGGAUUAGCUAGUUGGUGUGGUAAAGGCGCACCAAGGCGACGAUCCUUAGCUGGCUGAGAGGAUGAUCAGCCACACUGGGACUGAGACACGGCCCAGACUCCUACGGGAGGCAGCAGUGGGGAAUAUUGGACAAUGGGCGAAAGCCUGAUCCAGCAAUGCCGCGUGAGUGAUGAA